Molecule: non-coding RNA, 243 nt
Organism: Cinara cedri
Lineage: Eukaryota; Metazoa; Arthropoda; Insecta; Hemiptera; Aphididae
Source: the annotation of a GenBank genome assembly
AGUUUUGGUAGACGAGUGAAUGGAAAAUUAAAUCGGUGAUUCGAGGUAAAAAUAAACUUCCCGCCGUCACUGUUUCAUCCGAGAUUUAUAGCUUUCUUAUUAAAAGUUCACACUCAUUUUAAGUAAAUUGAUUAAGGCGAAUCCAUGCCGACGGUGAAAAUCAAUUUUCGACUAUGGGUCGCUAUAGAAUUCCAGCGCUCCAGUCAGUCCACGCUGCACGAUAUUAUGUUCCGAACGUGUUAA